Molecule: RNA transcript, 2017 nt
Organism: Papilio xuthus (Asian swallowtail)
Lineage: Eukaryota; Metazoa; Arthropoda; Insecta; Lepidoptera; Papilionidae
Exons: 4
Source: RefSeq, a predicted model, not a curated record
GCCGCUCGCCGCAAGACGCAUAGUGCAGCGUGCAGUUGUAUUUGGCGCCAAUUGAUUGAUUCACCCCACACGACCCACUUCAUUACCUAAUCAACGCUCCCACCACUCAAUUGCUUAAAUACCUAAUUAUCGAUUUGUUAUUGUUGUGAAAGUGAUGUAGUGAACGAGUUUAGUGUCAGUGGCGCGGAUAUUAUCACAUGCGGCAGUGUAAUCAAUCGAUCAAGCAGCGCUCAUUGUUUAGAAAUCGCAUUCUAUUAACCAAAAACGGUUCCGUUGUUUUAUUUUGUCUAAGUAUAUCAAUCAACUCGCUUGUGAGUAGACACCCUUACUGCUCGGCCGGGAGUUGCGCUUCGUGCCUCAUUCAGUGCGCCCGCGCCCGACGCCCGCGCUGCCAGCCCGCGCCGGCUGCGCUGCCCGUGCGUGUCAUGAAUCUUUUCACGCAGCCCCGCGUCACCGUCGACGCUGCGCUGCAGGCCAUCGAGAUCGUUGAGCCAGCGCCGGAGAACUGCCCCGCGGUCGCCCUGCCUCCCGAAGGAAACGUCAAGAUCCGUAACUACCGAAUGUUGAACGAAAACAUUUGCACGUAUUCCCCGACCGGCGAUAUAAAUACUUCUCCCGACAAAGGAAAACUAGUGUCCAAAUAUGACGUUUACUCCACUCUGUCUCCGCCGCGACAGAAAAUCUUGGAACUUUUGAGACCGGAGGACCCGGGCAGAGACGCGUUGGAGGCAAUAGUAAGGCCAGCGCCGCGUCGUGGGCUCGCACGGCCCUUCGACGAGGACACCAGAAGGUUCUUGCAGAGAGCGUUGCUGUCCCCGAGCCCGCAGAUAUCGAACACGUGCACACCAGAACCACGUCUCUCCGAAGCUACAGACCGGGACCAGAAAUCUAACGAGCAGCAAUCGAUAAAAUCCGAAAGAUCUCUGGCCGACGAGUUAAAAGAGGCAGAGGAGGAGGAAAAGGCGGGGGGCAUCAGACGCGACCUCCUCCGGGAGUUCAGAAAAAGAGAGGGAGGUACGAAGGAAGCAAUGGAGAGGGAGAGGAUGGGAAAGUUGGCCCUGUCGGUGGAGGAGGACGAGGAGGAGGAUUGCGGGCUGUCCGGUGCGGCGCGACGGCUGGACGCACUGCUAGCGGAGUCGCGCAGCCUGCACGAGGAGCUGGCGGGUAUCCACGAGGACAUGCAGGCGGAGAGUGCGCGGGCGCGGCGGUGUGCUGCGGCGGCGCGGCUGCUGGCGGCGGAGUCACGCGCGCUGCGCUACCUGGACGACGUGGUGGCACUGCUCAACGGCAACGUGGCCGCUGCCAGCCGCGCGCGGGCCUGGCCCUUCGCCAUCGGCCGGCGGGAGCCCGCCAGGAAUUACAUCGUCUGAUCUCACCUCACCUGAGCGAGCGCCGCUCGAACGCAGACAUGCCCGAUUCGGAAGCUCUUUGCGUUAAUACACGAAAUUACUGGGUCACAAUCAACUGGGACUUGUUAAAGCAUGCUACCCUUCAUAACACCACACCCACGGACCAAAAGUCGCACUUUCACCUCACGACACGUGUACGACACGAACCAGUUACAGACAACUAAAAAGUGCCAUAAUAUGGAGAGUGAAGAUAGCGGAGGUAUGUGACCUCUAAUCAUCGAAGCAGCGCACGCACUGAUAUCAUUACGCGAACGAUCUUCAUACUCUACCAUUGACACUAACUACGAUAAGAACAUUGAAAACAUGCCAAUUAAUCGACCGUUCGGUUUUCAUUUGAACAACUUGUGAGAGUUUUAAUUACUUAUUAUUAAAAUUAGUUGAGGAUAGAGUUAUAAAUAUGCAUACUAGCUAUAAACAUAUCGAAUUAUAUUGCAUAGCCACAUCGUAGUAGAGUAAGUACAUUGGAAACUCAAUUGUGAUUAAAAAAAACGUUAGCUUUUAAAUAUACUUAGAUGAUUUAUAACAUAUUAUUUGAUCUCUUUAAAACUACUAAAAUUACAGAAACCUAGCACCUUUUCUUGUAUUAAUAUUUCAUAUAAAAUGUAGAG